AUUUUGAAGUCAUAUUGUGGCUAGGUUAUUUUAUAUAUAUAAACACGUACAAGCCAAGUAAAGAGAGGAGAGAGAGUCCUUUUCUUAGUCAACUAGGGUGGCCCUAGGUUUUUUAUAUAUAAUAUAUAUAUACAUACCAACUAAGGGGAAUGGGGGAGAGAGUUUUCUGGAGAGAAAAAAAUUCGGCGGCCGCUGGGAAAAAAGAGAGAAGUCCUUUUGGAGAAAAUUAUUGUGGCUGCCAAUUUUUCUUCUUGGGAGGAUAUAUAUACAAGCACAGAAAAAUUGGCUGGGGGAUGAACUCUCUCUCUAUAUACAUGCACAGAAAACCAGAGAGAAGAGGAAUUGAAAGCUCCUGGUUGCUGCAUCAUUAUUCUUAUUUACGCACAUAUUUUGAGGGCAGCAGUUGGGAGUUUGUCUGGGAAUUAAUUGGCAGCAGCUUUGGGGUUGAUUGAAGUAAAAAAUUGAGGCUGCCUUUGGGCUGAAUAAAAGAGAAAACUAAAGCUGAAUAUACACAAAAAUUGAUACAGAAAUGGUGGCUUCAACUUGACUUCUUCAAUUAAUAAAAAUUGAUACAGAAAUGGUGGCUUCAACUUGACUUCUUCAAUUAAUAAAAUUGGCGGCUGCUAAUCACACACACAAGACAAGAGGCUGAAAUUGAAAGGAAGCAGACACGGCAAAAGACGGCAAUUCAGUCUUGCAAAUUAUUUACGUUCCGUCAAUUGACCCGGUGAUGAAUUUCCUAAUAAAUUUGUGUUUUUCUUUCAUUAUUAUGCGUAGCUAAAUCAAAAUUAGGACGAACAACGUAAUCUUUUGGAACCCUUUAUUUCGUUGAAUUAAGAUUCUAGUGCUUUUAUAUUUUAUGUGUUGAUUUUAAUGUUGUUCUUAAUGCAUUUAAUUACUUAAUCACUAAUUAGAUGAUUUGUGAACAAUGAUUGCGUAGAGAUACGGAUUAUUUGUUUAGACUACAUGUUAAAAU
RNAcentral lists this long non-coding RNA (976 nucleotides) under Olea europaea subsp. europaea. Lineage: Eukaryota; Viridiplantae; Streptophyta; Magnoliopsida; Lamiales; Oleaceae. The record is from RNAcentral.